This 105-nucleotide ribosomal RNA is filed under the name Periophthalmus magnuspinnatus. Lineage: Eukaryota; Metazoa; Chordata; Actinopteri; Gobiiformes; Gobiidae. The record is from RNAcentral.
UCGAGUGGUGAAGCCUCCUUGGCAAAGCCUUUCAGAAGCUAAGCAAGACUGGGCCUGGUUACUGCUUGGAUGGGAGAACACUGGGAAUAUCAGGUGCCACAGGGG